This is a long non-coding RNA of Oreochromis aureus, 1405 nucleotides long. Lineage: Eukaryota; Metazoa; Chordata; Actinopteri; Cichliformes; Cichlidae. The record is from Ensembl.
GGAGCAAGUGGGGAGCCGUGUGCACUCUGCAGGAAGCGAGAGAGACGAGAGCUGAACAGUGUCGAGUGAACGCAGAGUUCAUAGAGGGCCGACGGACGUAUUUUCGGGUUGACGGAUAGUUAACUGGAGUGAAAAGCUGUUGUACCCUACUGUGAGGAGGAGACGGACGUCUUGCUGGCGUGUCGGAGAAGUCCCUUCUGCUGGUGUGCUGAACUUAUGUGUUCACGUGGGAGCACGUGGCGAGGACGACUGUGAGUGCUGCUGCCGUGGCCUGCUGGUAGCCUUGACCCAGUUUCCCCUGCUAUCCCCUUGAACUGCCUGGAGGUGUGAGUACUGUUUGCACGUGCUUUUUAUUUUACUGCUUGGCAACAAGUGAAGCGACCAUAUUGUUUUAGGUCCCAACGCACCCGAGCCACGACUCAGGCCUGCAACGAGGGGUUGGCUAGCAGAAAGACUGUAGCACUUGAGGUCUGUGUGUGUCGGUGAGAGUGUGUGUGGGCCCACAAUAUUGUUUGAUUAUUUUGUUUCUGUUAAAGUAGAUACAUUACAUUGUUUAACAAACUUUAUUAAUUUUACUUAUUUUCUUCUGUGUCGUUAAUUAAUCAUUUACUAAAGUGGAGUUAACUUUAUAAUUGACUUGCUUGUGUGUGAUUUAUUUCUAUAUAGUGUAGUUUUAUUGCAUGUCUUAUACCAUAAGCAUUAAAAAGGGAGUAUCAAUAGGAAAGUAACAACAGGAACCCAGGGCCCCUCUCAAUAGAACGUGGGACGGGUGUUACAGUAGUAAUAGUUUUCACAUUCUGAACAUGGAUUUGCAGAGAGAGACAAGCUAAAGCAUCAGUCGCCGGCAGGUUAAUCUCACCUGGAGGACUGGAGCGUCUUGGUGCACUCUGGGGUUCCUACAGCUACACCCUACAGAUGACCAUACAAGUUAAAUCUUUAAAUAAACAGAAUGCGGUUUCAUGUUUUCCAUCUACUGUUACUGUCAUGUCUUACCCUCAAAGACUUGUUGUUACUUGAUGAUAGACCCGGGAAUUGCACCAUAUACGCAUGGAAAUCAUUGUCUGCUACAGAUUAUAUCAGACAGACGCUUUAAUUUCUUUCGUUAUUGAAAGUUUGAUCAUUCUACUUAGGGUGCUGAUUCGGAAACUGGUGCUUUCAAGAUUAAAAAAAAAAAGAAUAGCACCUGAACCUCUUGCUUUAAGGAGUGUGACCAUAACGCCUCUGUUGGCAGAUACAAAGAAGAGCCUUCCUAUGUAUUUGCAUGAUGAUCUUAACUAUUUUCAUAGAGAAACACCUUAUAAAAAGCCUUAUAAUUUAUCUUAUACCUUGGAUUCUUAAAAGUAUGGUGUGUAUUGUCAACAUAAGAAUGUACCACAUUAGGAUUUAAUACCACAUUUGACCUCUG